CGGGCUUGUAAUGAGCCCGGCGGCCCUGGUCUGUAUUAUGGCAAUUUAAGUAAUAAUACAGACCUUGAUUUGAGUAUAAGCCGAGUGGGGGGGUUUUCAGCACAAAAAAUGUGCUGAAAAACUCGGCUUAUACUCGAGUAUAUACGGUACAUAUGAAUUAAAAUACUAGUAAAAAUAAAGAUAUCAAUAAAAAUGAAAAAUGCAAUUAUAUGCUCCUACAAUAUAGUAGGUGGUGUGAA
This is a non-coding RNA of Pelobates cultripes (western spadefoot toad), 239 nucleotides long. The record is from the annotation of a GenBank genome assembly. Lineage: Eukaryota; Metazoa; Chordata; Amphibia; Anura; Pelobatidae.